Long non-coding RNA from Cyprinus carpio (common carp), 1298 nucleotides. Lineage: Eukaryota; Metazoa; Chordata; Actinopteri; Cypriniformes; Cyprinidae. The record is from Ensembl.
UUGAAAUGUUUCAAUGUGAUAAUGAGAAGGUUGGUGGUAGGUGUGUUGUGUGAUCUAAGGUUGUGUCACUGAAGUUCACUGGAGCUUGUAUUCAUGAAAUCCAGGCUUUUCCCCUCUCUCUUUCUCUGUUAUUUAUUCUCUGCCAUUUAUUCCAGUGAUGCAAAGCUGAAUUGUCAGCAGCCAUUACUCCAGUCUUCAGUGUCACAUGAUCCUUCAGAAAUCAUUCUAAUAUGCUGAUUUGCUGCUCAAGAAACAUUUCUGAUUAUCAAGGUUGUUGUUUUGCUUUUUGUGGAAACCGUGAUACUUUUUUCAUGAUUUUUUGUAACAUUGUAAAUGUCAUUAUUGUUAUGAUCCAUUUUAAUGCAUUCUUACUGAAUAAAAGUAAAUAAAGAUCUUACUGACCACAAAUUUUCAAAUAAAGACCAUUUCUUCUCUCAGCCUCGAAUGCCACAACCAGUGCAUAGACCAUCUGAAGCACGCAGAACACAAAAACAGCAAGAAAUGGCUGGAAUAAACGGUUCCAAUCUGAUUGCCUGGGUUUCUGCACAAUUUCCAGGAGUCAGGAUGCACAGAUGUUUAUCGCUGUGUAGAUUAUGUAGAUCUCAGCACCGCCCCACCAGCCCGGUGAGACCAGCAUACUCAACACAACAGCUGGGAGAUGAUGCUAUAAACUGCCAUACAAAUCUCAAGCUGCACUGCAGUGUGCAAUUAUCAUCAGGUUCAUUGUCACACAUCCACUGCAUUUUUUUAAUUGAAAAAACUAACGUCUCAAGCUGAUAAACACUGAAAGGAAGCACUCAGCGGCCAUUCAGAGGGAUGAAGAGAGAGCAAAAAAGUCGAUGGCGUCCGGUGAAUGUGAGCAGAGUCACCAUCUUAUAUUGGCCAAUCAAUCAACCUAUCUGACAGUUAUUACGUUAAGCAGCCAAUCAGAUUGCUCAGCCUCUUUGCCUGAAGGCUGAAUAUACAGGAAAUGAUGUGAUCACUUGUGGAAGUAGGACGUGGCACACUGACACAGCUGGUGAGGAGUGCAGACCUGGAACACAUUAGAGAAAAUUAUUGUUUAUCUGUAAAAGAGAAUGAAGCGAAUGAUAGUGCUUAAUCUUUGAAAUCUGCUUUAUUUUAACCAGAAUUGUGUGGUUUCUUUGUAGUUUUGAGGCCAUGUAUCUAAUAUAUACACAUUUAAAUCUGACAUUUUUUCCUCUUCUAAACAGAUCAAAAUUAUUAGUGACUUGUCCUGGACUACAGAUUUUUGUCCAAUGAAAGGCUAGCUAUUAUAAUAAAGACCCAUCCCCAAAACA